AAGUCGAACGAUGAAACCGCUUCGGUGGUGGAUUAGUGGCGAACGGGUGAGUAACACGUGGGCAAUCUGCCCUUCACUCUGGGACAAGCCCUGGAAACGGGGUCUAAUACCGGAUAACACUCUGUCCCGCAUGGGACGGGGUUGAAAGCUCCGGCGGUGAAGGAUGAGCCCGCGGCCUAUCAGCUUGUUGGUGGGGUAAUGGCCUACCAAGGCGACGACGGGUAGCCGGCCUGAGAGGGCGACCGGCCACACUGGGACUGAGACACGGCCCAGACUCCUACGGGAGGCAGCAGUGGGGAAUAUUGCACAAUGGGCGAAAGCCUGAUGCAGCGACGCCGCGUGAGGGAUGACGGCCUUCGGGUUGUAAACCUCUUUCAGCAGGGAAGAAGCGAAAGUGACGGUACCUGCAGAAGAAGCGCCGGCUAACUACGUGCCAGCAGCCGCGGUAAUACGUAGGGCGCAAGCGUUGUCCGGAAUUAUUGGGCGUAAAGAGCUCGUAGGCGGCUUGUCACGUCGGAUGUGAAAGCCCGGGGCUUAACCCCGGGUCUGCAUUCGAUACGGGCUAGCUAGAGUGUGGUAGGGGAGAUCGGAAUUCCUGGUGUAGCGGUGAAAUGCGCAGAUAUCAGGAGGAACACCGGUGGCGAAGGCGGAUCUCUGGGCCAUUACUGACGCUGAGGAGCGAAAGCGUGGGGAGCGAACAGGAUUAGAUACCCUGGUAGUC
RNAcentral lists this ribosomal RNA (721 nucleotides) under Streptomyces sp. YIM 56074. RNAcentral describes it as "bacterial SSU rRNA". It matches the Rfam family "Bacterial small subunit ribosomal RNA", at positions 59 to 795 of the family's 1533-position model. The record is from RNAcentral. Lineage: Bacteria; Bacillati; Actinomycetota; Actinomycetes; Kitasatosporales; Streptomycetaceae.